GACCCUGUAGCUCAGCCUGGUUAGAGCGCCGGUCUUAUAAACCGGAGGUCCUGAGUUCAAAUGUGGACUGCGUUU
RNAcentral lists this transfer RNA (75 nucleotides) under Candidatus Pacearchaeota archaeon CG1_02_31_27. RNAcentral's name for it is "tRNA-Ile". It matches the Rfam family "tRNA". Rfam says of the family: Transfer RNA (tRNA) molecules are approximately 80 nucleotides in length. The record is from RNAcentral. Lineage: Archaea; Nanobdellati.